CGUUAGCGGCGGACGGGUGAGUAACACGUGGAUAACCUACCUAUAAGACUGGGAUAACUUCGGGAAACCGGAGCUAAUACCGGAUAAUAUAUUGAACCGCAUGGUUCAAUAGUGAAAGACGGUUUUGCUGUCACUUAUAGAUGGGUCCGCGCCGCAUUAGCUAGUUGGUAAGGUAACGGCUUACCAAGGCAACGAUGCGUAGCCGACCUGAGAGGGUGAUCGGCCACACUGGAACUGAGACACGGUCCAG
RNAcentral lists this ribosomal RNA (250 nucleotides) under uncultured Staphylococcus sp. RNAcentral describes it as "partial 16S ribosomal RNA". It matches the Rfam family "Bacterial small subunit ribosomal RNA", at positions 90 to 334 of the family's 1533-position model. The record is from RNAcentral. Lineage: Bacteria; Bacillati; Bacillota; Bacilli; Caryophanales; Staphylococcaceae.